RNAcentral lists this ribosomal RNA (496 nucleotides) under uncultured bacterium. RNAcentral describes it as "partial 16S ribosomal RNA". It matches the Rfam family "Bacterial small subunit ribosomal RNA", at positions 29 to 507 of the family's 1533-position model. The record is from RNAcentral.
AUGAACGCUGGCGGCGUGCCUAAUACAUGCAAGUCGAGCGAACAGACGAGGAGCUUGCUCCUCUGACGUUAGCGGCGGACGGGUGAGUAACACGUGGAUAACCUACUUAUAAGACUGGGAUAACUUCGGGAAACCGGAGCUAAUACCGGAUAAUAUAUUGAACCGCAUGGUUCAAUAGUGAAAGACGGUUUUGCUGUCACUUAUAGAUGGAUCCGCGCCGCAUUAGCUAGUUGGUAAGGUAACGGCUUACCAAGGCAACGAUGCGUAGCCGACCUGAGAGGGUGAUCGGCCACACUGGAACUGAGUCACGGUCCAGACUCCUACGGGAGGCAGCAGUAGGGAAUCUUCCGCAAUGGGCGAAAGCCUGACGGAGCAACGCCGCGUGAGUGAUGAAGGUCUUCGGAUCGUAAAACUCUGUUAUUAGGGAAGAACAAAUGUGUAAGUAACUAUGCACGUCUUGACGGUACCUAAUCAGAAAGCCACGGCUAACUACGUG